Molecule: long non-coding RNA, 367 nt
Filed under: Phoenix dactylifera (date palm)
Lineage: Eukaryota; Viridiplantae; Streptophyta; Magnoliopsida; Arecales; Arecaceae
Description: long non-coding RNA (PDAC_LNC009939)
Source: RNAcentral
UCCUCUCCAUCACGUGGCCACCCUCCUCUCCUCUCUUUUCAGCCACCAACAACAAAGGGAAGAAAAGGAUCUUGGUGGCCUCCUUCUUCCUCCACUGUUUGGUUCCAACGCAAGGAAGAAAAAGAAGGCUGCAGGGCUUCGUUCCUCUUCUUCUCUUCAUCCUUCUUCUUCCUCCUCCCAAGCACAAUCAAGGAUUGAUUGAAAGGGAGAAUAUCAGCCAUCAAAGUUAUCUCUGCAAGGGAGCUAGCCCCCCGGGGAGAUAGAAAGCUUGGAUCGGUUUUCUGCUUCGUGUGGAUACCCGUAGAGGCCGGGCACUUGAACGGCUUCAAGCGAACCUUCAUCCUAAACCACGAUCAUCAGUUUGCGG